Non-coding RNA from Caenorhabditis elegans, 402 nucleotides. The record is from Ensembl. NCBI's taxonomy places the organism in Eukaryota, Metazoa, Nematoda, Chromadorea, Rhabditida, Rhabditidae.
CUGGCGACGUGGCUGAUGCAAAUCGAAUUGCAAACGACGACGGCAGGAGAAGAGAAGCUGCCGAAGAGGGAAGAUGAAGGGACGAGCAGCCACAGAGCAUAGCUCGCGUGGCGACGGCGGCGACACAGCGGAGCGAGAAGCCGUCGAUGCGGACGCGACGAAGGCAGAGGGGAAAUGGGCGGAGCGCGGCCUGGAAACGGGUGUGACAGCAGUAGCCUCCGCCACGGCUGCCUCUCACUGCCAUCGCAGUCGCAGCCGCCAUCAAACGAUCCUAAUUGUGGACUUAUCGGGAGGACGAGAGCGCCGCCAAAGUUAGAGCCGCGCAAGAGUGGAGAGCAGGAAGAUGCGUCACACGCAACUUGCCCCCGGAACAGAAGAGAAAAGGAGACGAAGACUUCACCC